This 120-nucleotide non-coding RNA is filed under the name Brachybacterium alimentarium. RNAcentral describes it as "TPP riboswitch aptamer (THI element)". It matches the Rfam family "TPP riboswitch aptamer (THI element)". Rfam says of the family: Vitamin B(1) in its active form thiamin pyrophosphate (TPP) is an essential coenzyme that is synthesised by coupling of pyrimidine and thiazole moieties in bacteria. The previously detected thiamin-regulatory element, thi box was extended, resulting in a new, highly conserved RNA secondary structure, the THI element, which is widely distributed in eubacteria and also occurs in some archaea. The record is from Rfam by way of RNAcentral. RNAcentral also lists the same sequence under 2 other names. Lineage: Bacteria; Bacillati; Actinomycetota; Actinomycetes; Micrococcales; Dermabacteraceae.
UGGCGUGACACGGGGCGCCGCCCGUUCCAGCUUUCGAGCACGGGACGUGGUCGGCUGAGAUGACACCCGUUGAACCUGAUCCAGUUAGCACUGGCGAAGGGAAUGUCCGGACUUUCACCC